GUGUUCCGCGCUUGUGUAGUCUCUAAUGAUUCUUCCAUGUAGCUCUCAAUGAUUCCCCCGCCCCACAUUCUGCGCUUGCGUAGCUUCUAACAAUUCUUAUGUGUACCUCUUAAUGUUCUUCCACUCUGUGCUCCACUGUGGAGCAGCUUCUGAUAUUCUUCCACUCUGAACUUUCCCCUAUAAGAACCCCCUUUGUACAACCUUUUCUUCUGAUUUCUUUUCUCUUUCUUUCCUUAAUCAAUUUGUAAUCUGUAAUUAGAAUAGUAUCAAAUUGUUAAUUGAAGUACACCCAUUACAUUACAAAUUGAUUCUUCUGUGUUUAAGGCCUGAGUGCCUUGUUAUUAGUUCUUACAUCUGAGUGUGUUGUUACCAGUUCUUACACCUGAGUGUGUCGUUUACAGGCCUGAGUGCCUAGUUGUUACAAGAGAUCCCUUGUGGGCCUGAGUGUCCUUAUUGUUAGUUAUAUAGGCUGUCAUGUCUAAGUGUCUGAAACACAAUUGACUGUGUUCUACAAGGCCUGAGUGCCUACGAACUGUAAUGCUGUGAAUAGUGUUCAUGAAGAAGCUUGACCAAGCUUAGUGCUGCAACACUGUGAAUAGUGCCUGCAAGAGGACUGAGUAUUCCUUUUCUUUUUUUUUUUUAUUAUUAUAUGUCCUU
Molecule: small RNA, 657 nt
Filed under: Histoplasma ohiense
Lineage: Eukaryota; Fungi; Ascomycota; Eurotiomycetes; Onygenales; Ajellomycetaceae
Description: hypothetical lncRNA
Source: RNAcentral